GGAGAUACUACAGGCUGAGAUUUGUGGCCUUCCCACAGUGAUUAAUUGACCUAAUCUUACCCACAGGUGCUGUCAAUAAGAAACUUGAGAGCAGACAAAAAAGUGGGAUUCAGGGUUUGUUUUGUUUGGUUACAGUGUAAAAGGUGAGUCUAUAUAUGGUUUAUAGCGGAAAACAGAAUCAAUAAUGAAAAGUAGCUAUGUAAAGACAAAGAUGUGUGACUGGGGAGAAGAUACUUGAGAGACCCAGUUUUCUAAAACAGUAAAGGACCUUGCAGUUGAAGUGAUGCAAGUAGGAGUAAGGAGAACAGAGGGGCAUGUGUGGCUGCAACGAGAAAACGAUUAGUUAGAUGCUGCUAUCCAGGGACAAGGAGAGAGGGAGGUGGAAGUCCUGUCACUGAGAAAUAUAAAGAAGAAAAAUCGCUGCUCAUGUAAUACCUGCAAAAAGAUAUUCUACCUGUGCUCCCCCUGCUGUGGAAAAUUACUAAUGAACACCAUCUUGGGAUCUGUGACAGUUCUGGAAGCACUGAUUAGAACAACAGAAAUAGUAAUUCCUAGAUCUGUCUGUCUGCCUAAUACAAUGAAAGAAAAUGGAUUCUUGUGCCUCCUCAUAUACAAUCUCCCUGUUGUAAGUUUUUAUAAUAUGAACAUACUACGCAUGGGCUUUCGCUUGUCCAUUAAAGGCUCAAUUUCAAGCCCACUGUCCUCCAUGUAGUCUUUCCAUACAAGCUUUGAAUCAGGCCCUAAUUCAGCAUCUCCUCUGAUGGCAGCUGGGAGAGCUGUCAUUUCCUGGAAAAAAUAUACCAGCACAUCUUUCCUCCUUUCCAGGAAGGGGUAUAGUCUGAUGUGCGUGUAUUCCUUAUGAGAAUAAAGAAUUGGAAAACAAACUCAGGAAAUCGGAAUGACUUCAAGAACAGCUGCUGUGCCUACCAAUCGUCACUACUGUGGUCUGUCACUAAUCUGAAUGACAAACUAUCUGUUUGUUCAGUGCUUUUCACAUCUUCCACAUCUUGCUUCAGAAGCUCAAGCUGCCUAUUUUAAGUAACUCAGCCACUGUUCCUUCCAAUACCCAUUUCAAGGUCUUAAUACAUACUGUUCCGAGUACUCCAAGCCCAGUUACCCAAAGUCUGAGAUGGUUCUGAGUGAUCACCAGUCAGGCUUCCGGGAGUCCUUCUUCCGUCUGAUUGGGAGUUUAGGUGUCAGCUCCUUGCCUGAAGACAAGUUUCCUUGAACUGCUCCAAGGCAUAUUACCAAGCACAUAACUCAUAGUGACUCCUAGUGUGUCACCAUAGUAACUCCUGAUGGCUCACUAAUUUUCUAGUUUUAGCAAACUGCUCAUUACUGCAGUACUGUCAAGUUCUGGGGUUACUCACUGAAAUAUGAAUUUGGGAGUUACAGCUAUCCUCAGGUAGCAAAAAAAAAAAAUAAAAAAAAAUACAAUGCUUAAAACCAAUGGCAAACUAAUUCAGUGCAACCCUGAAUAACCUUUUCAAAAAGGAAAAGUGUAAUGAAUAUUUUGGUUUACAGUUUUCCUACAAAAUUCUAUAGUUAAUAACCUGAAGAUAACAAACUCUUCCAUUGUUCACAAAUUCUGUUCUCAAUACUUUAUAUGAUUUCUACUUUUUUAAAAAACCCUAAUGUUUAUUUGAGGUCCAACUUGGAUCCUGUUAAAGUAAAAGGAAAAACUUCUAUUGACUUCAAUAGGAGUUGGAUAAAGCCCUUCUUCAGCUUAACAAGGGUUGUAGUUUAUCUCUUGUAACUCUGAAAGCAUAAUAAAAAAAUUCUGACUUUUGCUGAGGUGUAGCAAGUUACUUAAUAUAUGUCUGAACACAGGGCUAUGUCAGACAUGAGGGCCCUGAUCCUGAAAAGACACAAAUGAAUAUUUGACUUCACUGGGGCUAUUCAUAUGCAUAAAAUUAAGUACAUGAAUACGCUCUUGCAGGAUUAGGGCCUCACAUGCAGAAAACUUCAGACCAAAGAUGGUGUUUAUGAUGGAUGUUUAAAUUAAAGUUAAUAAUUUCUGAUAUGAAUUAUUGCAUUAUCCUAAAUAUGGUGCCAACAUGAAGAGAUGCAAAUUUGAAGAAAUAAAACCUGGUAAAAAUAAUUAAACAAAACCAAACAUCAAUGACCAGCAACUUCUUUUUUUUUUUUUCUUUCUUGAAAGAAUUAUUACCAUA
This is a long non-coding RNA of Chelonia mydas (Green sea turtle), 2174 nucleotides long. RefSeq lists it as uncharacterized. The record is from RefSeq and is a predicted model, not a curated record. The transcript has 3 exons. Lineage: Eukaryota; Metazoa; Chordata; Testudines; Cheloniidae.